UACGAAGGGGGCUAGCGUUGCUCGGAAUCACUGGGCGUAAAGCGCACGUAGGCGGCUUGUUAAGUCAGGGGUGAAAUCCUGGAGCUCAACUCCAGAACUGCCCUUGAUACUGGCGAGCUUGAGUUCGGGAGAGGUGAGUGGAACUGCGAGUGUAGAGGUGAAAUUCGUAGAUAUUCGCAAGAACACCAGUGGCGAAGGCGACUCACUGGCCCGAUACUGACGCUGAGGCACGAAAGCGUGGGGAGCAAACAGG
Molecule: ribosomal RNA, 253 nt
Filed under: uncultured bacterium
Lineage: Bacteria
Description: partial 16S ribosomal RNA
Rfam family: Bacterial small subunit ribosomal RNA
Source: RNAcentral